UUUCGCAAUGCCCGAAAGGGUGACGAAGCGACGCCGCGUGGGUGAGGAAGGCCCUCGGGUUGUAAAGCCCUGUCAGGAGUUAAGAAAUGUAGAUUCGCUAACAUCGGGUCUAUUUGACGAAGGCCCCAAAGGAAGCCACGGCUAACUCUGUGCCAGCAGCCGCGGUAAUACAGAGGUGGCAAGCGUUGUUCGGAAUUAUUGGGCGUAAAGAGCACGUAGGUGGAUUUGUAAGUCAGAUGUGAAAGCCUUCUGUUCAACGGGAGAAUUGCAUCUGAAACUACAGACCUUGAGUAUAGGAGGGGAGAAUGGAACUUCUGGUGGAGCGGUGAAAUGCGUAGAUAUCAGAAGGAACGCCGGCGGCGAAAGCGAUUCUCUGGCCUAUUACUGACACUCAGUGUGCGAAAGCUAGGGGAGCAAACGGGAUUAGAUACCCCGGUAGUCCUAGCCGUAAACGAUGGGCACUAAGUAGAGGGGUUUU
Molecule: ribosomal RNA, 478 nt
Filed under: uncultured Planctomycetales bacterium
Lineage: Bacteria; Pseudomonadati; Planctomycetota; Planctomycetia; Planctomycetales
Description: bacterial SSU rRNA
Rfam family: Bacterial small subunit ribosomal RNA
Source: RNAcentral